Molecule: long non-coding RNA, 2716 nt
Organism: Triticum aestivum (bread wheat)
Lineage: Eukaryota; Viridiplantae; Streptophyta; Magnoliopsida; Poales; Poaceae
Exons: 14
Source: RefSeq, a predicted model, not a curated record
CGUCGCUCCAGAAAACGAACACGGUGAAAAUCCUAGCCUACAGAGAGCCUCAUCUCAUCCCCAAUCCCCUGCCUCCUCUUCUCCCUCAAUCCCUAUCCUCUCCUUCUCCCAAAUCCGCCGCCUCCUCUUCUCCUCCCCAAUCCGCCGCCUCCUCUUUUCCUCCGCAAUCCGUGAGCCCUCACCACCAAGAAGCCACGGGUGCGCCGCCGCUGGAAGAAAAAAAGAAGAGGAGGUGGCACGGGGACCAGCAGCGGCGACGGCCUGGGAGCCACCCUGGAGCAGGUGGAGAUGCGGGGCGGCGAUGAAGGCGUGUGAGAAGAUGGCCUGAGCGUCCUCGUCAAGGGCAGUUUUGGCUACCUCCUCCCGCCUCGGCUUGUUUUUCUCUCCUCCACCGUUGCUACUUCCUCGCUGCUCUCCAAUGAGUGAUUGGGUUUGUCCGCUUGGUGGAGCAGGCAGGGAGCAAGUAGGCAAAUAUGGGAGAAGGAGAAUGACCCUGACGAGAUGGCUGCCAUAGGGUCGUGACCUUCUUUAGCAUGCACAUCGGCACCGUCCCCGCGUCCGCAGCAGGGGGACGACAAUGGCUGCAAGUGACGGCACAGGAGCCCAUCUUAGUCGAGCACCCUCCCAGGAUUUUACUACUGUUAUGGCAAAAGAAGGCUAAAGCUGGGAAAGACAACAAUGUCAGGAGCCGGCCGAGCUAGAUCCAAAAUGCAGAGAGGCAAGGUUUAUUUUCCUGGAGGUCCUAUAUUGCAGCUGGUGCUAUUUUGUUAUGUCAAAUUGUGUAUUUUUCCAGCUUCCCUUCCUCAUGUAUGAGCUUGUCUAUGGUGGGAUGGGGAUUCGGAGGAUAAAUGUUAUGGCAGUAAGGAGGUCAAGCGCGAGACGUCACAUGUCAAGGGGAUUUACUAUUUAGUCUCUUCUAAUCAGGUGAAGAGAUACUGCUGGUUUAAACGGAAUCCAUACUUUAACAUGAUUUCUCCCAAUUCAACAAAGUCAGGUACUACUCAUGUUCUUUCAUGCUAUGGAGCUACUCGAGGCAGCAGAACAUUAUCCCACACGGAGAUGGGGAUGGCCAUGCCCGUGCUGAUGCCGUCGGCCGUCGGUGAGAGCAUCAUCGUCAACAACGGCUCCAGCGACCUCUCCAGGAGCUUCUCCAUGAGCUCCUCGGGUGACACCAACUCCAACAUCAUGUUCUUCACGCCCGGAAGCAAAAAAGCGAAGGUGCUCAUCGACAGCGACGAUGGCAUGGUCACCAGCCUCAGCAAAAUCGAAUCCCAAUUUGGCAUGUCAACCACGUCUUUAGACAUGUCCGGCAUGGACGACUAUCUGCAGCUGCAGCAAUACUUCAUCGCCUACACAGUCUGCACCAAGCGUGGCUGCGCCACUCACCCACGAAGCAUCACUGAGAGGAUUAGAAAGAAGAGCAAGGAAUAGCAAGAGGCUAAGGAGGCUGCAAGACCUCGUGCCCAAUAUGGACAAGGUAACUAAAUCAGUUGAAUUGAUGCACACUGUCAAUUCUGUCACCAUAAAGUUGGGUGCCAUCUGGCAUCUGCAGAGUAUCAAAGCUUCUUCUAGAUCAAAGAAAGCUAAUCCAGAAUCAACCAUAGUCAGUGCAAGAAGGUUAUACAGGGCAGAUGAUAUUUCAUCAGAGAGGUAUACUACAGUGAAAAUAUAAUAAGUGUGCCAGUUUGUGAUGGUUGAGGGGAAAUGUGAGGUUAUAGCAAAGAAUGACAUUCCAAAUUCAAAUCUUCCGGUAGUGGUUGAGCAUGCCUUUUACUGUGAACAUUUAUAUGAUCCUGAUGCUGGAGCUCUUAAGCAGCUACCGACAAAUGUUAAGCUCAUGACCUUGACAAGGAAGGCGCAUGCUGCAAAAAAGAAUGAAGGCAAGUAGAUUUGUGACGAUGGGCAAGCUGGUUCAGACAAACAGAACGCAACACCAGAGAACUGUCUUGCAACCCUUGAUAUUUUUGCUGGCUGUGGAGGUUUGUCUGAAGGGUAGUAGCUAUCUGUACUGGCGCACCAUGUACAAAUUGGGCAAUUGGAUAUGAAGAACCUGCCAGGAAAGCAUUUGGUGAAAAUCAUCCAGAGGCAGUGGCAUUAGUGGAGAACUGCAAUGUGAUUCUAAAGUUGUGGUCAGGGAGGCAAAGCGAAGGGCAACCUCCGGAGUGUCGCGGAAGAGUGGUGUGAGUAGAGGGUGUCGCGGAAGAGUGUCACGCAAAUAAGUGGGUGGGGGAAGGAAGCAGAGCAGGCAAUGCCCCUAUUUAUAUUUGGCGUUGGCAUGUCCAGAUCGAUGGGCCAAAGCUCAUUGAAGUGAUGAAUCGAACAAGGAGGAAGGGUAACACGAUGACGUGUUUGGUCUUCAGCCAUUUCUUUACUAAGAAACCCAGGGUCCCUCGGCUACUUAUGUUUUGCCAGACAAUGAGAAGAUGUAGAUAGCAUGUAUGGUUUUUACAUUGCUUUGCGCAGGUUGAGAUGCAUUACAUGAUGUUUUCCUUUUACAUUUAUGAAUAUUAUAGAGUCCUUUCUUUUUCCACAAGGGGCAAUAGUUGUGCCAUUUGAUUCGAAGGACAAAGAGUUGAUCACAAAUGGAUAGCAUUCAGGAUAUAUACACAAAAGAGUAUAGAACCAAAUUAUAUGAUGUAGUUGACUAUUAUUUCUAUUAACUUCUCCUGUACACAAUGUUCACGAGUUCAUGUAUUAACUACAUUUUAUUGUGUCA